Molecule: ribosomal RNA, 254 nt
Filed under: uncultured bacterium
Lineage: Bacteria
Description: partial 16S ribosomal RNA
Rfam family: Bacterial small subunit ribosomal RNA
Source: RNAcentral
UACGUAGGGACCAAGCGUUGUUCGGAUUUACUGGGCGUAAAGGGCGCGUAGGCGGCAUGACAAGUCACUUGUGAAAUCUCCGGGCUUAACUCGGAACGGCCAAGUGAUACUGUCAAGCUAGAGUGCAGAAAGGGCAAUCGGAAUUCUUGGUGUAGCGGUGAAAUGCGUAGAUAUCAAGAGGAACACCUGAGGCGAAGGCGGGUUGCUAGGCUGACACUGACGCUGACAGCGCGAAAGCCAGGGGAGCAAACAGG